RNAcentral lists this non-coding RNA (840 nucleotides) under Pongo abelii (Sumatran orangutan). Lineage: Eukaryota; Metazoa; Chordata; Mammalia; Primates; Hominidae. The record is from RNAcentral.
AAGAGGCCACACCGGCUGGAGGGUGGGUGUCUGACCCUCUGAGGGCGCGGGGCCAGGGCUUAGGGGCGGGGCCUGGAGAAUGAGAGUGGCAUCGCUCAAGACCAGGCUCAAGCUCAAGGACAGAGCCCAGGCUCAGGUAGAGAGGAACCACAAGGACGGGCCACCAUCAGCACUGUGCUGAGACCCAGGCACUAUGGAAUUCAGAAGAUAGGAGUCUAGCAGCCUCCAGACAGGGCAAGGAGGGGACAGAGAAAGAUGUGGGUGCAGGAGGCACAGACACCUCUCCUUCCCUGCCUGCUGAGCCACCCUCCCCAGGUCUCACCUGCCCUGUCCCCCAGGUGAGAAAUCUGCAGUGAAGAAAGGUACAUCCCAAGGGGACACCGAUAGUAAGCAGUGGAGCUGGGAUUCCAGACACGUGGCCGGGCCUCUGCAGGAAGAAAUCAAACGUGUGGAAGGGUCGGGGAGAGGCGAUGCCUAGAAGGGAUUUUCCCGUAUUCUCUUAGUGGUGGGGCCCAGGAUGUGGCAGCUGGUGGUGUUGGCUGAGCAGUCCCUCUCCAGGGGAAGGGGCUGGAUGAGUUCAGAGAGUUUGGCUGGGCGUGCCAGGCGCAACAGCAUGAUGUCCUGGUCAUGGCUGGCGGCAUCAUAGCCAGGGUGGAUCACAGCCCGGACAACAGAACUCUGCUCCUGGGAACUCUCCCUUUGCCGAAGGUUAUGCUUCCCCAGGAAGACCUGAAGAUUCCUGGGAAGGAAGAGGGCUAGGUCUCACCUGGAGCCCUUGGGCUAAAGUUGAGGCUUCAGAGAGGGCUGGGAAGUCAUGAAUCAGCUGGCCUGCUCCUCCCA